This 106-nucleotide ribosomal RNA is filed under the name Mycoplasma sp. 1018B. Lineage: Bacteria; Bacillati; Mycoplasmatota; Mollicutes; Mycoplasmatales; Mycoplasmataceae. RNAcentral also lists the same sequence under 1 other name. The record is from RNAcentral.
AUAAGUCGUUAUAGCAAAGGGGAUCACCUGAUACCAUUCCGAACUCAGUAGUUAAGCCCUUUAGUGCCGAAAAUAGCAGAAAUGCAAAAAUAGGGAGCGGCUUUUU